This 402-nucleotide ribosomal RNA is filed under the name uncultured bacterium. RNAcentral describes it as "bacterial SSU rRNA". It matches the Rfam family "Bacterial small subunit ribosomal RNA", at positions 355 to 749 of the family's 1533-position model. The record is from RNAcentral.
UGGGGAAUAUUGCGCAAUGGGGGCAACCCUGACGCAGCCAUGCCGCGUGAAUGAAGAAGGCCUUCGGGUUGUAAAGUUCUUUCGGUAGCGAGGAAGGCAUUUAGUUUAAUAAACUAGGUGAUUGACGUUAACUACAGAAGAAGCACCGGCUAACUCCGUGCCAGCAGCCGCGGUAAUACGGAGGGUGCGAGCGUUAAUCGGAAUAACUGGGCGUAAAGGGCACGCAGGCGGUGACUUAAGUGAGGUGUGAAAGCCCCGGGCUUAACCUGGGAAUUGCAUUUCAUACUGGGUCGCUAGAGUGCUUUAGGGAGGAGUAGGAUUCCACGUGUAGCGGUGAAAUGCGUAGAGAUGUGGAGGAAUACCGAAGGCGAAGGCAGCCCCUAGGGAAUAUACUGACGCUCA